AAAAAAAAGAGAGAAGAGAAAAGAAAUUUUACAAUGUCAAUGUUGAUUUAACAAAUUGCUAUAUUAACUGAUACUGAUAGUUGCCUUAACCUUAACACCAUGUGGCAAUAUUGAUUGGAUGAAGCUUUAAAUGAUAGUAGAAAGGUGCAUUAAUUAGAAAAAUAAACAUAGUAAGAUUGAAUAGACAAAAAAAAAAUUCUCUCUUUGCUUUAAAUGUUACAUAUACAACAAAGAAUUAGCUAGCUGUUAUGGUUUUCUAACGUUGGCUAGAUAUUUCCAAUUGUGUAUCAAGAAACGGUUGAAAUAGCGAUUAUGGCUGAUUCAAAGGAGAGAGUGAUGUAGAAUAGGUUACGGGAUUGGUUGUUAGGAUUCAGUUUGGGCUAUUUUGAAAGCUAAGGAAAGUAGAAACUCUGGUAGACAACUCAGUUUUCCAAUAAACUAUGAUUUGGAAGCAAAAUAGCAUGAGAGGCAAAUGUUUGAGGAGUUGUUUGAAUGUUGGUCAUUGUGAAUUGCACAAUUAACAGGAAAACAAGAGGGUUUAGGCUUCACACCUAAACUUCCUUAGGUAUCAUACUUGGGUGCAUCAUAUAGCCUGAGUAUAGAUUUUUAUACACUCAAAGACCAAAGUAAUACUAAACCUUCAAAAUAUUGGACACUUAGGUUGUCCUAAUCAUGGUUUCAAAUCACGGUCACAGUUGAGCUCAUGGUCAUAGGUAGCAAAAAUAGACCUAUAACGGCCAUAACUUAAUGGUAACGGCCUAUCGCUAUGCAA
Molecule: unclassified non-coding RNA, 772 nt
Filed under: Hevea brasiliensis (rubber tree)
Lineage: Eukaryota; Viridiplantae; Streptophyta; Magnoliopsida; Malpighiales; Euphorbiaceae
Source: RNAcentral